UUUCGUAGCUAUGAAAUGGGAGUUCAGU
Molecule: non-coding RNA, 28 nt
Filed under: Rattus norvegicus (Norway rat)
Lineage: Eukaryota; Metazoa; Chordata; Mammalia; Rodentia; Muridae
Source: RNAcentral